RNAcentral lists this ribosomal RNA (1011 nucleotides) under Pseudopithomyces sacchari. Its description in RNAcentral is "partial 28S ribosomal RNA". It matches the Rfam family "Eukaryotic large subunit ribosomal RNA", at positions 36 to 1062 of the family's 3401-position model. The record is from RNAcentral. Lineage: Eukaryota; Fungi; Ascomycota; Dothideomycetes; Pleosporales; Didymosphaeriaceae.
UAGCAUAUCAAUAAGCGGAGGAAAAGAAAGCAACAGCGAUAGCCUCAGUAACGGCGAGUGAAGCGGCUACAGCUCAAAUUUGAAAUCUGGCUCCCUUUGGGCGUCCGAGUUGUAAUUUGCAGAGGAUGCUUUGGCAUUGGCGGCGGUCUAAGUUCCUUGGAACAGGACAUCGCAGAGGGUGAGAAUCCCGUACGUGGGCGCCUGCCUUUGCCGUGUAAAGCUCCUUCGACGAGUCGAGUUGUUUGGGAAUGCAGCUCUAAAUGGGAGGUAAAUUUCUCCUAAAGCUAAAUACCGGCCAGAGACCGAUAGCGCACAAGUAGAGUGAUCGAAAGAUGAAAAGUACUUUGGAAAGAGAGUCAAAUAGCACGUGAAAUUGUUGAAAGGGAAGCGCUUGCAGCCAGACUUGCCCGCAGUUGCUCACCUAGGCUUUUGCCUGGGGCACUCUUCUGCGGGCAGGCCAGCAUCAGUUUGGGCGGUCGGAUAAAGGUCUCUGUCAUGUACCACCCCUCGGGGUGGCCUUAUAGGGGAGACGCAAUGCGACCAGCCCGGACUGAGGUCCGCGCAUCUGCUAGGAUGCUGGCGUAAUGGCUGUAAGCGGCCCGUCUUGAAACACGGACCAAGGAGUCUAACAUCUAUGCGAGUGUUUGGGUGUCAAGCCCGGGCGCGCAAUGAAAGUGAACGGAGGUGGGAACCUUUCGGGGUGCACCAUCGACCGAUCCUGAUGUCUUCGGAUGGAUUUGAGUAAGAGCAUAGCUGUUGGGACCCGAAAGAUGGUGAACUAUGCUUGAAUAGGGUGAAGCCAGAGGAAACUCUGGUGGAGGCUCGCAGCGGUUCUGACGUGCAAAUCGAUCGUCAAAUUUGGGCAUAGGGGCGAAAGACUAAUCGAACCAUCUAGUAGCUGGUUCCUGCCGAAGUUUCCCUCAGGAUAGCAGUAACGUUUUCAGUUUUAUGAGGUAAAGCGAAUGAUUAAAAGCCCUGGGGGGUUGAAACAACCUUCACCCUAUUCUCAAA